CCUACGGGAGGCAGCAGUGGGGAAUAUUGCACAAUGGGGGAAACCCUGAUGCAGCGACGCCGCGUGAGUGAAGAAGUAUCUCGGUACGUAAAGCUCUAUCAGCAGGGAAGAAAAUGACGGUACCUGACUAAGAAGCCCCGGCUAACUACGUGCCAGCAGCCGCGGUAAUACGUAGGGGGCAAGCGUUAUCCGGAUUUACUGGGUGUAAAGGGAGCGUAGACGGCAGCACAAGUCUGGAGUGAAAGCCCGGGGCUUAACCCCGGGACUGCUUUUGAAACUGGGCGGCUGGAGUGCAGGAGGGGUAAGCGGAAUUCCUGGUGUAGCGGUGAAAUGCGUAGAUAUUAGGAGGAACACCGGUGGCGAAGGCGGCUUACUGGACUGUAACUGACGUUGAGGCUCGAAAGCGUGGGGAGCAAACAGGAUUAGAUACCCCUGUAGUC
Molecule: ribosomal RNA, 440 nt
Filed under: uncultured bacterium
Lineage: Bacteria
Description: partial 16S ribosomal RNA
Rfam family: Bacterial small subunit ribosomal RNA
Source: RNAcentral